This is a long non-coding RNA of Humulus lupulus (European hop), 3624 nucleotides long. RefSeq lists it as uncharacterized. The record is from RefSeq and is a predicted model, not a curated record. The transcript is spliced from 3 exons. NCBI's taxonomy places the organism in Eukaryota, Viridiplantae, Streptophyta, Magnoliopsida, Rosales, Cannabaceae.
UCUCUCUCUCCUCAGAAAACCUCUCUCUCUCUCCCUCUCUCUCUCUCUCUCUCUCUCUCUCUCUCUCUCUCUCCUCUGCGUAUUACUGUUGCCGACGACGCAGGAGUACUUUCCGGCCACCAUUUUUAGCCACGCGCCGGACCGUUGGAUUCAGAGGCCUCCGAACUAUCGACCCACGCGGGAAUCUAGAGCUCACUCGCCGAUUAAACGCCUCAACCACUCGAUUUAAGUUCGGCCACCCCGCGACUUCAAAGUUGCGAUUCGGCCACCUCGGGCAUCCGUUUGCCGAUCCGUCACCACCAUCGUGCUCCUCGUGUUGUGGGCUUCAAAACCCAAUAACUUUUUCCUACAUCUACCAUAGUUGGGUGGUGGGCCCACCACGAGCCACCGCGAUCCACCGUAGACCGACGGUCGAAACUUAGUGUUCGAGGUUCCGAAGUACGUUUUGAGUCUCAGAAAAUCAUCGUUUGACUUGUUGUGGAACCCGAUCAUUUUGGAUUUGUAUGGAUUUGAUUGAUUGACUCUUGGUGAGCCGUUUUAAAAUAAGCUAAGGACCUAAGGUGUGGCUUUAGCUGUUGAGCAACUUGUGGAGCACGGACUCAGUAGCAAUGCAAUAGUGGUUUAGAGUUUUCAUAUGGCUGCCUUAAAUUUAAAGUAUUCAUACGUGUAAUAAUUUCUUCUAAUAAGUUUAUAUAAAAGAUUUAAAUUUUUCUGUAUUUCUUCGUAUCAUUUUAUUUAAUUCUUUUGGUCAAGUGCCUUACAUACUCGUAAACCCUAGAAUUACGAGUAUGUGGCAGACGUACCCUACCUUAGGGACGUUACAAAUGGUAUCAGAGCUUUGAGUUUGUAGAUGUCGUAUACUCGUUAUGUUAUUAGAUUUUGGGAUCUGAAAUGCUACUGAGUUCCGCCACAAGACAAGCCACACGUUAAUGGUUAGUAUAAUUUAUCCAUAUUUUAGUUAAUGUAUGUUAAUGAUGUUGUAUAAUUGUAUUAGAAACUCAUUGUGUGUUUGAGUUUCCAUGAUAUAAGUAUGAGUUUGGAUUAAAUGAAUAUUCUCAUGCACGGUAGAGAAAUUGAAGUUUGUUAUUUAUCUGAAUGCAUGCCUUUAUUAUUGAUGUGAUAAAUAAUUGAUGAUUUAUCGAUGUCGAUGUUUGGAUUGUUAAUUGAUAUUCUCAAGCUUUGAAAGUGAUCUAUCAGUUCAGUUAGUGUGUUAAGGGUUAAUAUGUCAGGUUAGUGUUUUGGAGAGCAAAGUUUUAGGUUGUUGCUGAGAGCACACACAAUAAGAGACUUUAGUGAAACAGUAGUAAUAUAUAGAAGAAAAAAAAAAAAAAAAAACAUAAUCUAUUAAGGAUUGGGGUUUUGGACACGUUCUACCUCGUCAAUCAACUUUUGUUGUUCAACUCUAAGGGUCUCCCCAGUAGUUUGCAGUGUCUGAAAUUUUUCCUUCAUAUCGACUGAGUAGUUAGCAAGAAGUGUAGUUAAAGUCCCAUUCUCCUUAACCAACUUCUCCUUCUCUCGAGUCAAUGCCUUGUUGGCAUUUCUAAUGGUUAUCAUCUCUUGUUUUUGUGUUUCUAUAUACCUUUUCAAGUGGUCAACCUCUUGUUCUCUUGCAAGAACCCGUUGGCCUAGGUUUGAGACCGAUGCUGCCGCCUGAGUGGUAAGAACUAAGGAAUCUUUUACAGCUUGUAGGUCUGACCUAUGGGAUAAAAUUAUUUGGUCUUUAGGUGUGAGUAUGCUUUGACCUAUACUAAUGGCCACCUUUUUAUCGAGCAUAGCUGAAUCCUCCACCGUGACAAGGCCAGUAUCAGAAUAAAAUUUGGGAAGCCAAACUCUGGGAAAUUGAGUAUUUCGUUCUGGGAUGUGUACCGUAGGAUACACCAUUAGCUGUGGUAGGGGUGCAUAAAUUUGUGGUGAAGAUUCGAUAGUGGGAAGAUUUGGCUCAGGUAAAGCUAAAGUUAGGUCUAAGUUCAGCUGAGAUGAUGAGGAUGCCAUGGGUUGCUUAGCUUGAGUAAUGGACGGAAGUAAUAAUUAUUUGGUUUUCAAAAGCUUGAGAUUGAUUGUGUUUUAGUGUGUAUGUGAUGAAUUUUAUUUAUAGAAAAAUGUGUUGAACUGUUGGGUCAUUGGAUCCUUGAAUUUGUUUGUUUUCAAGAUAGAUAUCACAGAUUUUAUCUUGUUCAAUGUGUUACGCUAUCCUCUCUGAUGAUGAAAGUCAAACUUAUUAGAUGUUGUCGACAUGGAAAUCACUUCUAUUGAUUUUGCGAUCCUGAUUUGAACAUGGAAACAAUUUGUAAAUUGUUGAAUGAAUCGAGGUGAUAAAUGUUAUUUACUGAAUUACUCUGUAGUGUGAAUUACUUUCGGCGAUUAAAUUAUAGUAUAUUAGCUGUUUUAUCCCGAAAGUAAGAUAAUGUAUUACUUGUGUGAAUUGAUGACUGAGUAUUAUUGGUAUAGGUGUUGAAAUGAGACAUGUCUAACUUAUUAGACAUGUGAGAAUUAUUCGUUUUCGUAGAUGAAGUGGUGGAUUGGUCAGUCAAUACUUAUCCCAUGUUUUAUUCAAUGAAGGGAUACUAAGCUAAGUGUGUGAAUUUCCGAGUGGCCACGGUUAUUUGCAUUCUAGCAUAGUAUCAAUAUGCCCUUUAUUAUUUUAUACAUUUGGAAACAAUUUUGAUUUUUAAAUGUUUUCUUAGAGAAAAAAUGAGAGUCAGGUUUUUCUGAACUGGUACCUAAUGAAUGGCCUAUCUCACUAUUUCUCAUUCAGGGCAAGAAGUCGGUUUUGACAACGAAAGGGUUUCACAGAGACUUGGUUUUAAAGAAUAAUCUUCAUCGGCUAUAUAAUUGUUUUCUAGUUAUCCAAUUUUUUUUUUAUGCCGAAAAACUUUCUAUUGAACAAACUUGUUGCUCAAUUUAGCAUCUAUUAUCAAGGUAUAACCAGUCAAUUGCAUCUACUUAAAAAAAAAAAAAAAAAAAAAAUUGACUGUAAGACAUGAAGAUCAAGGAUGUUUUCAUGAUGAUGGUCAUUUUCUCUUCUUACGUUAUGUGGUUUGUGUUCAAAAGUAUGGAUGAUGAGGAUUCGUUUGUAUUUUCGUAUACAUUCAUUGUAAUUUAUACUAUUGUUAUAGCUUAUUUCCUUUCUAUCUAUAUUGUAGUCAUCAUGUGAGGCGUUUACACAUCCUCGCCUUUUUAUAUAUGAUAAGGAUUACAAGAAGUCAGGAAUAAGUUUUGUUUUCGGGGUGAAAGUAAGUGUUGUGUAUAAAAUCUUAUGCUGUGAAAUGUUGUUCUGUUUAUUUGUAAUGGUAGUUCUUGUCUCCGAUUAUCAAAUUUUAGUUUGAAAUUUCGAGGACGAAAUUAUUUUAACGGGGGAAGGAUUGUAAUAUCCAACAUUUUCAUAAUACAUUUAUUUAUAAUAAAUCAGAGUUUUAAUACAUAAAAUGUACAACUUUACAAAUUUAAGAAAUAGUAAUGGAAAAAUAGUGUUUAAAAUAUGAUUUUAUGUUUUUAAUGAGAUUAAAGAAAGAGAAACUUGAGUAGUCAAGUAUUGGACCCAAAUGUCAUAUAAUUUUAAUUGGGGAUUUUUAUAAAAAUUAAGAAAGUUUGGCUAAAGGGCUUAUUUGAAAAGAAUUUUAGUAU